This 1343-nucleotide ribosomal RNA is filed under the name uncultured bacterium. Its description in RNAcentral is "16S ribosomal RNA". It matches the Rfam family "Bacterial small subunit ribosomal RNA", at positions 28 to 1378 of the family's 1533-position model. The record is from RNAcentral.
GACGAACGCUGGUGGCGUGCUUAACACAUGCAAGUCGAACGGAAAGGCCCUGCUUUUGUGGGGUGCUCGAGUGGCGAACGGGUGAGUAACACGUGAGUAACCUGCCCUUGACUUUGGGAUAACUUCAGGAAACUGGGGCUAAUACCGGAUAGGAGCUCCUGCUGCAUGGUGGGGGUUGGAAAGUUUCGGCGGUUGGGGAUGGACUCGCGGCUUAUCAGCUUGUUGGUGGGGUAGUGGCUUACCAAGGCUUUGACGGGUAGCCGGCCUGAGAGGGUGACCGGCCACAUUGGGACUGAGAUACGGCCCAGACUCCUACGGGUGGCAGCAGUGGGGAAUAUUGCACAAUGGGCGGAAGCCUGAUGCAGCAACGCCGCGUGCGGGAUGACGGCCUUCGGGUUGUAAACCGCUUUCGCCUGUGACGAAGCGUGAGUGACGGUAAUGGGUAAAGAAGCACCGGCUAACUACGUGCCAGCAGCCGCGGUGAUACGUAGGGUGCGAGCGUUGUCCGGAUUUAUUGGGCGUAAAGGGCUCGUAGGUGGUUGAUCGCGUCGGAAGUGUAAUCUUGGGGCUUAACCCUGAGCGUGCUUUCGAUACGGGUUGACUUGAGGAAGGUAGGGGAGAAUGGAAUUCCUGGUGGAGCGGUGGAAUGCGCAGAUAUCAGGAGGAACACCAGUGGCGAAGGCGGUUCUCUGGGCCUUUCCUGACGCUGAGGAGCGAAAGCGUGGGGAGCGAACAGGCUUAGAUACCCUGGUAGUCCACGCUGUAAACGGUGGGUACUAGGUGUGGGGUCCAUUCCACGGGUUCCGUGCCGUAGCUAACGCUUUAAGUACCCCGCCUGGGGAGUACGGCCGCAAGGCUAAAACUCAAAGGAAUUGACGGGGCCCCGCACAAGCGGCGGAGCAUGCGGAUUAAUUCGAUGCAACGCGUAGAACCUUACCUGGGUUUGACAUGGAUCGGGAGUGCUCAGAGAUGGGUGUGCCUCUUUCGGGGUCGGUUCACAGGUGGUGCAUGGCUGUCGUCAGCUCGUGUCGUGAGAUGUUGGGUUAAGUCCCGCAACGAGCGCAACCCUUGUUCACUGUUGCCAGCACGUUAUGGUGGGGACUCAGUGGAGACCGCCGGGGUCAACUCGGAGGAAGGUGGGGAUGACGUCAAGUCAUCAUGCCCCUUAUGUCCAGGGCUUCACGCAUGCUACAAUGGCUGGUACAGAGAGUGGCGAGCCUGUGAGGGUGAGCGAAUCUCGGAAAGCCGGUCUCAGUUCGGAUUGGGGUCUGCAACUCGACCUCAUGAAGUCGGAGUCGCUAGUAAUCGCAGAUCAGCAACGCUGCGGUGAAUACGUUCCCGGG